Molecule: long non-coding RNA, 1033 nt
Organism: Uranotaenia lowii
Lineage: Eukaryota; Metazoa; Arthropoda; Insecta; Diptera; Culicidae
Exons: 5
Source: RefSeq, a predicted model, not a curated record
CUGUUUGGGUGCACUUUUUGAAGGUACACACCAAAAAAUUUAUAAAAUUACUCGAGACAGAAACGCUUGAAGACCCAAUUAUGUUUCGCCCUAAUUAGGAAUUGAUUUAAUUUCACAUCGUUUUCAAUCUAAACUUAACAAACACCCAAGCUUACGGGCCAUAAUUUUCGAAAGACUUAACUGUAUCAUGAUCUAAUUCAUGAAAGAUGUAUUUUUCAAUCAUAUUGAAUAUAAACUUAUAAAAAUGACCUAAAUUUAAAUUUAAGAAGAUGUAAAAUUAUGUGCGCGGUUACAAUUUGGCAACCCUGCGAAGAAACAGAAACAAAACAAAUUAAAAGCAAGUGCAUUCUAUUUUGGUGCGUAUUGUCACGGGAAAUUAAAGCCAGAAAGUGUUCUUUCGGGUGAAAAAGGCGAUUCCCUCUUGCGCUCUUGAUAACGUGGAUAACAGCUUUGGGUAAUAAGGUUAGCACUUCCGUGUGCUAUUUUCAGCGGUUUUCUAGAAUUUAAGAACAGCGGCUCUGCCGCGGAGUUUGACAGCAGCUCAAAUUUUCGUUUUUUGUUUUGAUUUCAUCGUUCCGGUCUUAUUGCGUGAAGUCUGAAACAACACCAGCUGGGACGGGCCAUUUCGAGUAAGCUGGAUUAUUCUUAGACUAAAAGGUACCGGGAUCUGCUAUAUGCUAGCGUGAACUACGAAGACAGCUGGUGGACCGGGUUUGCCACGAAAUGGGGCAUUUCGGCCUAAGUUGGCUACUCAGAGACCAAACGUGCCACUACUCUCAGAGUUUGCCUUAGUGAAUUCCUUGCCAGAAAUCCUGCAGUAUAAACUUGAUGAAAGCAGUACACAAAACCUUGUUCUGUACCCUGGAAAAGGAAUCCCACUGGCCUUGAACAUAGAUCGACUAGCUGAUAAUUCCGGAAGACCAAUCGAAAAACGGAGUUCGAUACCCGGUUCAAUAAAAAACCUUGACUGGAAUUUCUGGUGCCAACUGGUUUGUUCUGUAUUCCAACAUUAAACAUCCUCUAAGGCAUUGAA